RNAcentral lists this ribosomal RNA (473 nucleotides) under uncultured Thiomonas sp. RNAcentral describes it as "bacterial SSU rRNA". It matches the Rfam family "Bacterial small subunit ribosomal RNA", at positions 49 to 521 of the family's 1533-position model. Lineage: Bacteria; Pseudomonadati; Pseudomonadota; Betaproteobacteria; Burkholderiales. The record is from RNAcentral.
UUACCAUGCAAGUCGAACGGCAGCGCGGGGCAACCUGGCGGCGAGUGGCGAACGGGUGAGUAAUACAUCGGAACGUGCCCUGUGAUGGGGGAUAACUACGCGAAAGCGUAGCUAAUACCGCAUACGACCUACGGGUGAAAGUGGGGGAUCGCAAGACCUCACGUCAUAGGAGCGGCCGAUGGCGGAUUAGCUAGUUGGUAAGGUAAAGGCUUACCAAGGCAACGAUCCGUAGCUGGUCUGAGAGGACGACCAGCCACACUGGGACUGAGACACGGCCCAGACUCCUACGGGAGGCAGCAGUGGGGAAUCUUGGACAAUGGGGGCAACCCUGAUCCAGCAAUGCCGCGUGUGGGAUGAAGGCCUUCGGGUUGUAAACCACUUUUGGCGGGGGCGAAAUAUCGAGUGCUAAUACCAUUCGGUGAUGACGGUACCCGCAGAAUAAGCACCGGCUAACUACGUGCCAGCAGCCCGGG